This 74-nucleotide transfer RNA is filed under the name Paravannella minima. RNAcentral describes it as "tRNA-Arg". It matches the Rfam family "tRNA". From Rfam's summary of the family: Transfer RNA (tRNA) molecules are approximately 80 nucleotides in length. Their secondary structure includes four short double-helical elements and three loops (D, anti-codon, and T loops). Further hydrogen bonds mediate the characteristic L-shaped molecular structure. tRNAs have two regions of fundamental functional importance: the anti-codon, which is responsible for specific mRNA codon recognition, and the 3' end, to which the tRNAs corresponding amino acid is attached (by aminoacyl-tRNA synthetases). tRNAs cope with the degeneracy of the genetic code in two manners: having more than one tRNA (with a specific anti-codon) for a particular amino acid; and 'wobble' base-pairing, i.e. permitting non-standard base-pairing at the 3rd anti-codon position. The record is from RNAcentral. Lineage: Eukaryota; Discosea; Flabellinia; Vannellidae.
GUGUCUAUAGCUCAAUUGGAUAGAGCAAUGCCCUUCUAAGGCACAGGUUAUAGGUUCAAGUCCUAUUAGACGCA